UUCGAAUAAGGAAGCGGUGAAGAGAAAUAGUUUGAUGACGGGAUGAGUGAAAAGGGUGGAAGUGAGAGAGGUGGAUUGGGUGGUGGAAUGAAAGUUAGAAACUUGGGCAUGGAGAUGGGUGCGAUGUAUGACAGUGGGUAUGACAGUUAGAAAGAUGAUGAGGUGAGGGUGGCCAUGCGUUUUGGGCCUCAUGCACUUGGGAAAAUGGUGGGGAAUGAAUGAUAGAUGGUGGGGGUGAUAGGAAAAAUAGUGAGGGAAGUGGAUGAUGGAGGUAUAGAAAGAUGAAAGGAUGUGGUGAGACGGGGGAGAGAUAGGUGGUUCAAUGGGUCUGGAAAAUGGGUAUAGGCAUGAGGGGGCGUGGAAGGUGGGUAUGGAGAUGGGCAGUGGGUACGAGGAUGUGAUGGAGUUAAGCUUUCUUUAAAAAGGAGUAGAUGAGAACCGAAUACCCAAUAAACAUGAAGAGACCCAUUUCAUUUUUCCUUCAUCUGUGGGCUCAAAAAUUGGUUGAUUAAACUAGAAGAACGUCUAAAAAAAAAACGAGACGUGAGGAGAUCCUCAAAUAUGAAAUAAACAAUCAAAAUACAGUUAAAUCAUCCUUGAGUGAGAACGGAGAAGCAUGGAAUGAAGUUACAAUAACCAAACCAAAGCCAACUCACAAACGAUUCAAAGUAACUACCUCAAAAAGAGAUGAGAGAAGUAUGAUGAUAUGAUGAACAAAGAACACAAAUAAUCUUAUCGGGCAAUGCUUCCUCUGCUCAACUCAUUUUCCUUCCCCCCGCAUCGUCUUCUCUGCUAAGCUGCUAAAAUAUCUCUUUGUAACCAGCAGUAGAAAUCACCCAACACGCUCCCACUCACUCUAACAGCCUCCAAAAAAUGCUCAUUUCUUUCCUACCCAAAGUCAUCCUCUCCUCAAGAUACUCCCCCCUAUAGUCAAUCCUCAGACCUGCCUCUACAACCUUCUCACGCAAGUCCCAUCUAGCCGCCCAAAGACAGCUCACCCAUCCUGCAACCACAGUCUUCUUUGGCUGCCCAAGAAUAGCCCACUUCCAGCUGUUUUUACUUCGCCUCCUUUCCUUUGUGGCUGCCCAAGAACGACUCUUUCUCGAGGUGGUAAGAAGAAGACAUGAAGAAGAAAGAAGAAAAUCAUAAAACAAAAUAAAUGCCCCUAUUUCAUGGAGUCUACAAGUAUGCCCCUCUUUGGUAGAGUUCACGAGUGCAAGGAAUAUGAACACUAGAGUGAAAAGAAAGUGUGAAAAGUGAGUGAAAUGAAGUGAACUCUACCGAAGAAUAAAGAAAGACCCUCGAAAGGUACACAAGUAAAACGAAGCUCACUUAUGGCUCUAAAAUCCUAAGAGGAAGGUAGCUCUCAAAGUGCUCCCAAAGCCGCACUAAGGAUCCAAACUCUAUUUGAGAUUUCUCCAAAAGUGACUCGAAAAUCAAUAUCAAAGAUGAGUAAUGGUCGAACCACCUUCGAGUAUAGGAAAGAAUGCGCCCAAAUGGGACUGCCCUAUGUGAACUACAUAAGAAUGCUAAGCAUUGUAUGCCUAACAACAUGACCAAAAUAUGUGCUGCGAACUCAAAAGACUGUGUCAUGUGUAGUGGUAGGGGAAGUCUAGAAGAGCAUGAUGAAUAAGCUAUAAGCACAAGGUAACAAGGUGAGGAAAAACCAAGGACGAAUGCAGAACCAUGAAGGUAAGAUGUGCAAUGCUAGUGAAUAUGAAUGUCAGGAGUCGUGACUCUGAAUGACAAGGCUGAGAAGAAAUGACUCUGAACGCCAAAAUGAUGAAAAAUGAUGACUCUAAAUGCCUGAAUGAGUAUGCAUGACAACUCUGAAUGCCAAAACUAAAGGAAGAUGAUGGCAUCAAAUGCUAAGUAGGAUGAUGGCUCUGAACGCCAAAAUGAAGACAUGGCUUUGAACACCUAAAACUGAUGGAAGUGGCUCUAAAUGGUAAGAACGACCCUAAAUGCUAAACUAAAAGAAAAUGACAAUCCUAAAUGCUAGCCAUGUAGCUCUGAACACCAAACUAAAAGAAAAAGACAACUCUAAAUGCUAGGAAUGUGGCUCUGAACGCCGAACUAAAGGAAAAUGGUGGCUCUGAAUGACAGGUUGACUAAUGGCUCUAAAAGCCAAACUAAAGAUAUGAUGGCUCUGAACUCCGGGAAUGAAUGAUGACUCUAAACUCCAAACUGUGAACGAUGGCUCUGAACAUCAAGAAUGUUGCUCUGAACGCCAAAAAGAUGGCAACGAAUGGCCGAUCGUGAUAGGAUGAUUGCUCUUAAACGCCAAACUGAAAAGAAAUGGUGGCUUUGAAUGCCAAAAUAAGAAGGAAUGGUGGCUCUGAACGCUAAAACUAAAGAUGCGGCUCUGAACGCCAAAUUGAAAAGAGAUGGUGGUUCUAAAUGCCGAACUGGAAAGGAACAGUGACUCUGAAUGCCAAACUGAAGACAUGGCUCUGAACUCCAAACUAUGAAUGAUGGCUUUGAAUGCUUGAUUGCAAACAACGGACUCUAAAUGCCAAACUGUAGAGAGGUGAUGGCUUUGAACGCCCUACUGCGGAGAGAUGAUGACGACUCUGAAUGUCGAACUAAGGACAAACAAUGGCUUUGAAUGCCAAACUGAAAAUACGACUCUAAACGUCAAAAUGGGGAUGACGGCUUUGAACACCAAACUGUGAACAAUGGCUCUAAACGCCGGAACUGAGAAGCGAUGAUGACUCUGAAUGUUGAAACUGAGAAGUGAUGAUGACUUUGAAUGCUGAGACUGAGAAGCGAUGAUGGCUUUGAACGCCGGAACUAAGAGCGAUGAUGGCUUUGAAAGCCAAAAUUGAGAAAUGAUGAUGGCUCUGAACGCCGAAAUUGAGAAGCGAUGAUGGCUCUGAACGCCGAAACUGAGAAGCGAUGAUGGCUCUGAAUGCUGAAAUUGAGAAGCGAUGAUGGCUCUGAAUGCCGAAUUUGAGAAGUGAUGAUGGCUCCGAACGUCGAAACUGAGAAGCGAUGGUGGCUCUAAACGCCGAAAUUGAGAAGCGAUGAUGACUCUGAAUGCCGAAACUAAGAAGUGAUGAUGGCUUUGAACGUCGAAACUAAGAAGCGAUUAUGACUUUGAACGCCAAAACUGAGAAGCGAUGAUGACUUUGAAUGCCGAAACUGAGAAGCGAUGAUGACUCUGAAUGCCGAAACUGAAAAGCGAUGAUGACUCUGAACGCGAAACUAAGAAACAAUGAUGGUUCUGAAUGCCGAAACUGAGAGGCGAUGAUGACUUUGAACGCUAAAACUGAGAAGCGAUGAUGACUCUGAACGCCAAAAUGAAAAUGCGAAUUUGAACACCAAACGGAAAAGAGACAUGAUGGCUUUGAAUGUCAAAUUGAAAAUGCAAAGAGAUAAUGAGGGAGAGAUAUGCCUCAGUGUAGCGUGCUGCUACAACUCUCAAUCCACGAAAAUGGUCUGAAACAGACUCCAUGAGAAUCAUGACAACAUCAUAAAAUAUGGGCCUGAUCGAAUCAUGACAACAUCAGAAAAUAUGGGCUCGACUGAAUUACUCAAGAAAGGCUCCACUGGAGAAUCAAGGCAAAGUGAAGUCAAAUCAUCAGCCCAACGUGCAUCUCGUAACUGGGGAUGGUCAUGCAAAUCAAUGGAGAUCUACAAAUCUCAACCAAAAAAUGAAUAUGCCCCAGUAUGGAAUCAAGUGUGUGAUAGUUCAAAAAAAUCAAAUAGCCUCAAGUCAUCCAUCAUCAAAUGUGUAGUCCUAGUCAUCCACGUCCAUAAUUGAAUUAGACUCACAAAUAAAAAAUGCGUACUUCAAAAGGGGAGGUAUGACGACAUCCGAAUGUCGAAAAAUGCGGGCCUGACUGAAUGACUCAAGAAGGGCUCCACUAGAGGAUCAUGAUAAAAUAAUGAACAAGUCCUCGUAUCGGCGUGUAUUUCGUAAGUGGGGACGAUCGUGCGACUCCAUGAAGAUCCAUGAAUCUCAUUUGAAACGAAAUAUGCCCCAAUAUGGCAUCAGAUAUAUGGUAUGUCGAAAAUGGGGUGACAUGAAAUCAUCCAUCACCAAAUGUGUGAUCUCUGUAAUCCAAAUCGAACCCAAACGUCAAGGAAACAUCUUCCAGAAUAAGAAGCAUGAUGACAUACAAAUGCCAAAAAAUACGAACCUGAUUGGAUGGCUCAAGAUGAGCUUCAUUGAGGGAUCAUGAUAAAAUAAGGAACACAUCCUCGUCUCGGCAUGCAUCUCGUAAGUGGGAGUGAUCAUGUAGCUCCAUGAAGAUCUAUAACUCUUAAUCGAAAAGGAAAUAUGCCCUAGUAUGGCAUCAGAUAUAUGGUAGGUAAAAAAUCGGGUGACCUGAAAUCAUCCAUCAUCAAAUGUGUGAUCUCCGUAAUCCAAAUCCACAGCCGAAUCGGACCCAUGUAUGAAAAGAGACGUAUCCCGAAUGAGAAGUAUAACGACAUCUAAAUGCCAAAAAGUGUGAGUCUGAUUGAAUGGCUCAAGAGGGACUCCACCGGGGAAUCAUGACAAGAUAACAAAUAGGUCAUCGCCUCAGUGUGUAUCUCGUAAGUGAGGACGAGCAUGCAACUCCCUGAAAAUCUAUAAAUCUCAACCAAAAAGGAAACAUGUCCCAGUAUGGCAUCAACUAUAUGAUUGAUCAUAAAAUCAGAUGGCACCAAAUCGUCCAUCAUCAAAUAUGUGAUCCUAGUAAUCCAAAUCCAUAGCUGAAAACGAAUCUAAACAUCGAAGAAGCGUUUCCUAGAAGAAAAGACAUGAUGACAUUCAAAUAUUGACCAAAUCUCAAACACCUGUCCAAGUGGGGGAUGUCGAAGAUGACAUAUGAUCCCAUGGCCUGAAGGUGGUCUUAAGACACGGGACAUAACGUAGGCUAGGGUGAUAGGGUGAUAGAAAUGAAGGGAAGCUAGGCCCAAAAACCCAAUGAUAAAAAAACCCAUGCCCUCAUAUAUGAAAUGCAACAUGUAUAGAAAAUCUCGUGAGUCAUGGACCCGAGGGUGCCCAAUGUGAAUAUGAUAACAAUAACGAGGCAAUGAAGAAAAUCAAACUAAUAAUGAGAUGUGUAAUGAUGAUGCAAAGAGAGUAACAAACCUGAAAAUGGUCGCUGUAAGAAAAGGACAAGGGGUGAAACGCAAUGGAUGAAUCAAAAGCAAAAACAAGAAUGAUGGUAAAGCAAAGAACACGAAGAGGAGUGAUGAUCUGCUCAAAUCCAACAUAAAGUGAAGUCACAUCAUCAAUGAAUGUAAUGAUGGAAAUGACAAUGACACAGAGCUCCUAAGAGAAAGGUCACUCAUCUCACUCUUAAAAUAUAUGAAAUAUGAAUACAAAUAAUGAAAGGUCUCAAAAAGCUCACAUACGAGCUCCCAUCAACAAACAUACUCAAUGAAGUGACCCUCAAACAUCAAUAUACACGCCCAAUGAUGGAAAAUACUAUGCACAUACACACAUGUGUCUAUUUUUCUUUUCAUUUCAUUUAUUUUUCUUUUUUUCUUUUUUUUUUACAUAUAUACAAAUGCACAUACCCUGAACAUGAACAAAAUAAGCCCAAAAGAUGAUAUCAAUGAUGGAUAGACACGCUCUCAAGUGCUAAAGUUACAAAAACUCUCUCUGACGAGAUGACUUUCUCAAACUAAGGAUCUCUGAAUUAGUGUUUAUGGGAUAGAUAGCAGAAAUGAUGUGACUAUCCUCCAUGCAAUGAACUGAGGAGGAUCACCACUCAGGGUGGAGAGAAUAUGAAGCAAAACAAGUAGUAGAUAGAAUAAAAAAGAAGAAGAAGAACAUGACCAAUGAGAUGUGAUGAAAGCAGUAAUGUGAUGGUAGGAAAAAUAAUGAGAGAAAGAUGCACCUGUAGGUCCAAGACUCAUGAGACUCCCAAACAAUGCGUGCAUACACUCAAGGGCCCCUAUCCCAGUGCAAAAAAAGUGAGCAAGAUAAUAAGAAAGAAAGACUAUAAUGCACAUGCGAGACUCAAUGGGCUAACAACAGUCUGUAUGUCAAAAGGGAAUAACAAGGUAUAUGGCUAACCAAAAUGAUGGCCACCCAUCCUACGACCAUGGUCUCAAACAUAGUACCUCUUUAGUUGAUCCAUGUUGGUCGACUCCGAGAAUCGGUUUCCAUCUAGAUCCAUCAACAAUUCAGCGCCUUCUGGGGUCAGCUCCCUAAUGAAGUAAGGUUUGCUCCAAUUGGGUUUGAACUUCUCUCUAGGAUCUCUGAUCAAUCCCUUGAUGACCUUCAGAACCAAGUCACCUCUUUGUAGCAGUCUAAGCUUGACCCACUUCUUAAAAGCAUAGGCCAUCUUCCUCUGAUAGGCACGAACAUAGUCUGUUGUCCUCAAUCUCCUCUCAUCUAGGAGAUUGAGUUGGUCUAAUCGAGCCUGAGCUCAAUCUUCCCUCUGGAAUCUGCUGCUCCAAUGCUACUCUCAAUGAACCCAUCCCAAUCUCAAUUGGUAGCACUGCCUCCAUACCAUGCACUAAGAAGUAGGGUGUGGUUCUUGUAGAGGUGCAAAAAGAAGUCCGAUAAGCCCAUAAUGUGAAAGAGAGCUUCUCUAACCAAUCCUGAGAAGUCUUAACCAUCCUCCGCAAGAUCCUCUUAAUAUUUUUAUUCGCAGCCUCUACCGCUCCGUUAGUCUACGACCUGUACGUAGAUGAUCUAUGAUGCUGAAUACCGUAUCUCUAUAACGAAGUGUCAAGAUCUGUUCUGAAAUGUACUCCUCUGUCUGAAAUCAACUCAUGAGAGACUCCAUAGCGACAAAUCAUGUGUGAUAUGAUGAAACUAGCAACCACAGAUGAUGUCAAUCUCGCAUAUGAAUCGGUCUCCACCCACUUGGUGAAGUAAUCAAUGGAAACCAAGAUGAACUCAUGACCACUGGAAGACUUCGGUGAAAUAUUCUCAAUGAUGUCUAUACCCCAUAUUGAAAAUGACCAUAGUGAAGUUAAUGCAUGUAACUUUGAAGGCGGCAUGUGAAUGAGAUCUCCAUGUAUCUGACACUUUGGACAUCUCUGAACAAACUGACAAAAAUUUGUCUUCAUGGUCAACCAGAAAUAGUCAGUCCUCAUGAACUUACAGGCCAACAUAUGCCCUCCCAUAUGUGGUCUGCAGACUCCCACAUGGACCUCUCUCAUCACUCGAUCGACAAAGACACAGUCUAAGCUCAAUAGCAACAUCCCAUGAGUUGAUCGUUUGUACAAUGUCUCUCCACAUAUCACAAAUUGGGCGGCCAAUUGUCUCAAUGCUCUCUUAUCCUUGGUUGUGGCGGCCUCAGGAUAUGCGCCAAGUCUCAGAAACUGGUAUAUGUCAUGGUACCAAGGUAAGCCAUCAUCAAACUUUGCCUCAUCAAUCAAGCAACAAUAAGCAAGAACUGAUCUCAACUCAAUCAGUAAAGGGUGAACAACGGUAUUUGUGGGAAUAUCAAUCAUGGAAGUUAGAGUAGCUAAGGCAUCAGCGAACUGGUUCUGCACUUUGGGCAAAUGUGUGUAUCUCAAAUCAUCAAAUCUCCAAACCAGUAGCUCCAAGUAUGCAUGGUAAGGCCUAAGCUUAACAUCUCUAGUCUUCUACUUGCCCUGAAUCUAUCUCAAUACCAGAUUGGAGUCACCAAACACCUCUAUCUGUCUAAUCCCGAGCUUAAGAGUUGUCUCUAGUCCCAAGAUGCAAGCCUCAUACUCAACAAUGUUGUUUGUGGUAGGCUGUCGAUCCGAGAAUGCCAAAUGAACAAAUCUAGGAAUGUGGUCACCAUGAGGGGAUAUAAAAAAGACACCUAUCUCAUAUCCAAAAUGGUUGGCCGCACCAUCAAAGUACAUACGCCAACCCGAAAAACUAGUCACAGCAGCAACAUCCUCAUCUAGGAAAUCAUCAUCAAUAGCUCUACCAUCAGAAACUAGUAAUGAGGCUAAGUGAUCUACAACAAUUCUCCAUCUCAUAGACUUCCGAGUGACAUAAUUGAGAAAACAGAGGCUAAGUUUAGUUAAGAAAAACACCCAAAAGGGGGGGGGGGGGUGAAUUGGGUUUUUAAAAUCUUUUCAAUCACAACAAAAUUAAACAAAAUAUAAGCAAAGUAAAGAGAUAGAGUUUAGAGAAUUCAAACUCGGGUUUAUAGUGGUUUGACACUUUCUUGCCUACGUCCACUCUCCUCAACCUCCUAACCGAGUGAGGGUUCCACUAACUUGAAGCUUCAACCAAGCUUCCAAUCUUCUUACACUUGGAUUCCAGUUCCAAUGGGCUCUUACACAACCUCUUCAAGAUUCAACCCUCUUGAAGGCUUUAACACUCAGAUUGUUACAAGAUAUAAUCACUCAACCUAGCUUAAAGAUGGCUCAAAUACAAGACAAAGCUAGGAUGACAAACAAGAGUGCACUAAAGGAAAUGCAAGUGGUGAUUUAAUGCACUUAUGAAAGAAAUGAGAGCUUUUUGAUCAAGAACAGGUAGGUGGGCUUUGAAUGCAAGUGUUCUCUUGUCAAUAAAUGAAGUGGAGCUCUCAAUUUAUAGGUUUCUAACCUUGGGAGUCAAAAACAACAAAAGGCAGCCUCGUCCGGUCGAGCUAGGGGUCGACUGGUUCACUAGCCAUUGGAGCAUUUAAUGCAUGACAGGUUACUAUUGCCUCAACCGGACCUCGACCGGUCCUCGAUCGGACCUCGACCGGACCUCGAUCGGACCUCGACCGGACCUCGACCGGUAAAGGAAUCACCUCGAUAGGGAAGAGAAGACUAUUGGGAGAGAGAGAAGGUUUUUAACUUUCCUCGACCGGUUCUCGACCGGACGACCUCAACCGAUUGACCGGUUCCUCAAUCGGUCGACCGGUUGGCCAUAGGCUCGACUGGUUGAGCCUUUUUGGCCUCGAAAAAUCUAUUUUUUGAUUCCUUUAUUUUCUAACACUUAGGCAAGGUCUUUAGGUAAAUUAUUAAGCCAAUUUUAAAACAUUUUGCCUAAGGUAAAUUAGUUAAAAACUCGGGUUUUAAUGAAAUCAACAUUUUAAAGAAUAAAUCUAGUUUUCUAAGAUGCAUGAAACAUAUGAAAAUCCUAAGUGCACUCAUGCAUUCAUCUUACAUUAGUUUCCUAUGAUUACAAGUCUUCCAAGUGUCUCGAUCUUGUAUCCAUUUGGUCAUUUGAUGAAUUUUCGAGUUUAUACCUGAGAUUCUUAAACAUUAAACCAAUUAGUUACUUAAUCAUGGUUUGUUAUCAUCAAAACCCGAUUAGGAGAACCCUUGGGCUAACAAUAAUGAAUGUCAAACUCAGUUAGAAGUACCAACCAUCUCAUGAGUUGUCCGACCAAAGCGGGAUUGUCAAACAAAUAUCUCAGAUGAUCAAGACGGGAUAUCAAGUGCAUUGAAUACUCGAUCAUGUAAUGUCUUAGUCUCCGAGUAGCCUAAACCAAUGCCAAGUAGUAGUGCUCAAUCAUGACAUAUCUCGUCUUAUAAUCCAACAUUCUCUUACUCAAAUAAAAAAUGGCUCGCUCUUUGCCUGAAUCAUUGAGUUGAGCCAACAUGCAACCCAAAGCUACGUUUGAAACCGACAGGUAUAAGAGUAAAGGAUGACCUAGUGUAGGAGGCACCAAGAUUAGAGGUGACAAUAAGUACUCUCUGAUCCUCUCAAAUGCGCGCUGACACUGAUCAUCCCAAACGGUAGGUUGACUCUUCCUCAAGAGUCGGAAAAUAGGCUCACAGAUGUCUGUCAAUCUGGCAAUGAAUCUGCUAAUGUACUGAAGUCUACCUAAGAAGCCUCUAAUCUCUCUCUUAGUCAUCGGCACAGGCAUGUCAAGGAUGACUCUGAUCUUAUCUGGAUUUGCCUCUAUGCCUCUCUUACUGACCAUGUAUCCCAGUAGCUUCCUAGAAAUCACUCCAAAAGUGCACUUCUUGGGAUUCAAUCUCAAUCUGAAUGGCCUAAUCCUCUCAAAGAAUCUUUCCAAGGCUGUUAAGUGAUCUACUCUAUAUCGGGAUUUCACUGUCAUGUCAUCUACAUAAACCUCGGCAUCCCGAUGCAUCAUGUCAUGGAAUAGAGUAGUCACUGCUCUCUAAUAAGUAGAUCUUGCAUUCUUCAAACCAAACGUCAUCACUCUGUAGCAUUAAGUACCCCACUCAGUAAUGAAGGACGUUUUCUCCAUGUCCUCUAGAGCCAUCAAGAUCCGACUGUACCCAAAAAAUUCGUCCAUAAAAGACAACAUCGAAUGACCUACUGUACUGUCAACUAGCAUAUCGAUGUGUGGGAGGGGAAAAUCAUCCUUAGGACUGGCCUUGUUGAGAUCUCGAAAAUCAACACAAACUCUCAUUUUGCCGUCCUUCUUGGGAACAGGGACGACAUUGGCUAGCAACUCGGGAUACUCGACUAAUGAUAAAAAUCCCACAUUGAGCUACUUCUGAAUCUCCUCUUUCACCUGCAAACUCUAGCGAGGGUGCAAUCGCCUCAACUUCUGCUUAACCGGUUUGACAUGAGGCAGAAGUGGCAAGUGAUGCUUAACUAUGGAUGGAUCAAGGCUUGGCAUGUCCUUGUAAGACCAUGCAAAAACAUCCAAAUAUGAUCUGAGCAACCGGGCGAGGCCAUCCCUCUCAUCUGUAGACAAAUCCAAUCCAAUCCUCAGCUCCCUUGGUUGGUUUGUUGUACCAAAAUCAACAAUCUCAGCGUCUCUUGUGGUAGGUGAAACUCUUUGAUCAAUGGGGUUUGAAUUAGAAGCAGAAAAUGAGUCAUCAUCUGAAUCGUGCUGCACAAUCUCAUCAUCUAUAUCAAAUAUUUGUGAUGUGGGUGAAGAGGGUGUAGAUAAAGUAAUAUCACAAGAGACAUAUAGAUACUCGAAAAUGCUCAAAUCCAUAAAUGAAGAGUCAUGAACAUCGUCAAAACGGGAGACAAAUCCCGAUAAAACAUCAAAUGAAAGAGGUGGGUCCACAAAGUCGAACACUCCCUCAACUGAGCCAAUAGGGCCAUCAAACAAAUCGUCAACAACUAUAAUAUCAUCUGAAAUCUCUAGAAUAGGAGCUGUCUGGAUCUCCUUAGCGAUCUCGAUGGCGGACACCCUGAAGAGAUCAAAUGGCGAAGCAAGCUCGGGCUGAACUACCCCAUCAAUUUGGCUCAUACUCAACGAGCAUCUCAUCAAUGUACUCGUCAUGUGGAACAACUCCAUCUACUAUGUCUCCAAUCUCAACAAAUGUCCCACGCUCAUCGACCUCAUCCGGGAAAUAGAGCGUUAUAAGGCUCAUACGAUCUAGAGAUGAUGGGGCACCCAAUACAGAAGUAGAAGUGUCAGGAGCUCUGUCAUUCAACUACAGCUGGUGGACAAGACGCUGAAGCUCAGCCUCUUGAAUACUGUUGAAUCCCCCAAUGAUCCCAUCCGAAUGUGUCUAUAGUUUUGACGUCCUCACAAAGUAGUCCGCCAAGCUCAUGGUGUAUGGGCGAACAUGAUAGUCAAAAUGUGUGUGAGUCAGCCGGGCUCUCACCCUCUCCUUGCGCAAUCAUGCCAUAUAUUGAUAGUCAGCCUCAGUAGGGAUGAACCUGAGUCCGAACGGUACAUCGUGAUCUAGGAUAGCCAUGAACUCACUGGGCCCAUGCUGACGUCGCCCCAAUCCUAUGUCGGGCAAAUAAGACAUGUUCCUCAUCAUAUCGAGCACCACUAUGCUGUCAUGCUGGUCAAAUGACAUAGCCACAAAGUCUUGGCAAAAAUCCUCCAUCUCUAGGGCUUGCACCUCAUCGAAUGUGAACUCAAUCAGAAAUAGGUCAUUAUCACUAUGAUUGAUCUGAAGCAUUGGUUCAAAAGAAAUGAACAUAUCUCCCACAAAUUGCACUGUGAUGACCUGGCAAUCGUGAAUGAACUUUACCUUUUGAUGAAGGGAAAAAAGAAUAACCCCAGCUCUGUGAAUCCAAGGUCAACCCAAAAACAGGUUAAAGAAUGUAGGAAUCCUCAAAACUUGGAACAAUGUGGGAAAAGUGGUCGGACCUAUCAAUAGCUUAAUCUCCAAAGUGUCCAUAACCUCCCUCUUCGUACUAUCAUAGGCUCGGACUGUCUGAGUGGAGGGACCAAAGUCAGAGGACGCAUAGCUGAGGGCAAUGGCAGUAGCUAGAGGGCAGACGUUCAGGGUUGAGCCACUGUCUAAGAGGAUAGAUGGGACUCGGUGGCUUGAACAAUCGUCUGAGAUAUACAGUGGACGUGUAUGGUCUGGACCAUCGGGUGGCAAGUCAUCAUUAGAGAAUACUAUCCAAAUGGCUCUACUAGCUGUCACAAUGUGAAUCAAUCCCUCCAAUGCGAUGGUAGUCUCGACUUUGAUCUAGCUCAAGGCUCGAAUUAAUGCGUCUCUGUGAGUGUUGGAAGAUGUCAGCAAGCUCCAAAUAGAAAUACAAGCCUAGGUGCUCUGUAAUUGUCUCAGGAUCUCAUCAUCCUCUAUCCUGACCUUCUCAUGAGCGAACAUCCCCUCCAAGGGUUUAGCGGCUGCGGGGGGCUACUGUCGUACUACUCUACCCCCGCGAAUAACAUACUGUACAUCGGAAGUGUGAACAUCAUCAACAUAUGGAGUCUGAACCUCAUCAACAUCCGAAAUCAAGACGAAUGGUGUUUGAACACUGUAAUGUGGGAAAGUCAAUGGCUCAACUGUGGCCAUCUGUACUGAUGCCGCCUUAAGAACCAAUCUGAAUGGUGUGGACAUCCUAAGGCCCAAAGUCACUCUACUUAUCUCAUAAAUCUCAUCUGAUACUAUGGGCUAUAGCUCUGAAUCAUCCUAGCUCAGCAUGUGGAUGUGAUAGUCAAGCUCAACGAAGUCAAUGGAGUGUGUGCCAUUGGCCAAAGGGGGAACCGCGUGUGUAGUGUGGCCCGGUAAUGGGUUUGUGAUUACACUCGACUGACCUAACUGAACCACACCCUGAUCAAUUAGAUCCUGGAUAGCAUGUCUCAGAGCAAUACAACGGUUAGUCUCGUGUCCUGACUCUUGAUGAUAUGCACAGUGUAGAUCCAUUCUGAAUUGAGAUGGGACAAGCUGAGGCAAUGGUCUAAGAGUGAGAGCUAUCAACAAUCCAGUCUCUACGAGUUUCUAAAGAGUCUGGCUCAACGGCAUACCCAAAUGUGAAAACUGUCUCUAAGUCUUUAAAUAAAAAAGAGCAGAGGUUUGCUAAGCUAUAGGUCUAAGAUAGGAUGCUGAAAGUCUCGCGACAAACUAUGCUGCAUAGCAUGGAUGCCUUGUGGCAGAAUAUGAAACAGGGGGCCUCUUUGUGUCUUGUGCGGCGUGGUAAGGCAAUGCUAAUGCAGGAGGUAUGUAGGCCUGAUCAUAUGACUAAUGAGGUGCCCGUGGCCUAUACUGCACACAAGGCGAUGAUGGGUAGUAGAGUCUAGAAGUCUGUCCAACUGUCCGAUAGCGCCUAGGAGGUCUCAAACUUGCCGAACUGAUAGCACCCACAUAUCCUGGUCUUUGUCCUCCUAAGGGCUUCUUUCCCUUCGAAACAGAAGGAAAAGACUCAUACCAUAAUCAUCUGGCUAUGCCCUCUUCUAUAUCAUACAAGGCCUGUACCAAAGAUCCAAAAUCCGUAUGAGGAAAUCCCUUCAAGUGCCUAGCAAAUCGAGGCUACAAGCUCCUCAUAAUCAUGCUAUCUGAUCCCUUUCAGAUGGUCUAUCAAUAACCUGUGAAAUUUUCUCCCUCCAAUUAGAGAUAAAUGAGGUGACUGACUCCUCUGGCCUUUGUCUCAAUGCCUCUAACUCUUUCCUCAAGACGUCAAUGACAAUAUUAAAUGUGAACUGUCUCAAAAACUCCUGGGCCAAAUCAUUUCAAGUCCAGCGGCAUGAUACAUCUAAUGAAGCAAACCAUCGUUGUGUUGUACCACUCAGGGACCUAGGGAAAAACAUAAUCAUUUGGGCCUCAUCCAGUUCAUGGGCCCUCAUGAUCGUACUGUAAAGCCUCAAAUGGAUGCGAGGACAACCAAUCCCCGUGUAUCGCUCGAUCUCUGGCAUCCUGAACUUGGGUCAGCAGACUGGUCACUAGUAGUCCAUCGAAAUCAUCCCAAGUAACAGUUCUGUCUGAAGUCCUCAACUGCCUCAACCUCUGCUCAAGCCUAUCCAUGAGAGCAUGUGGGUCCUCUGAGGUCGGGGUAGGCAUGAUGACAGGAAGCAGGGCAACCUCAGUCUGACUAUUUAGGGUGAAAGGUAUAGCCUGGGGUGCUGACUAAUUGGGUGGAGGGGGUGGUGGCACUGUAAGGUCAUAUUGGGUGUCAUCCUGAGGCGGGCCCUACUGGACCUGUUGCCCAUCUAUCCUCAGACCAAUGCUAGCUAUAGCCUCUUAAACGGAAGCCAUGGCCGCAACAAACUGGUUGACGGUAACUAUUUGUGAAUCCAUAUCUCUUUGAUUUGAUCUCUGGUCUAAUACCCUGAUCAAUCUGCCCCCAACUUUGAUCCAAGAAGUUGAACCCAAACCAAACGUAUCAAUACUCCUACAAUAGUGGAAAUACUUCAUAAGAUACGGGGUAAGGGAAACUCCAUAAGGAAUGUCUAUCAAAUAUGCUGAAAAGUAACCCGGAAGUAAUCAAACUGAUGUCCAAUCCUGAGUAGAUGUAUGAUAGACUACUACGAAGGUAACUAAACCUAUCACUACUGAACCGACUCUAAAGGCCCACAGAUGCACCCACGUGUUAGGAAAUGAAAUCUUGAUUGAAAGAUCUAAGGCUCAACCUAUAGGGUCAAGGUGGCUCUAAAAAAAAAAGGGUGGACUUUAAACUAUCCCUAGUAGAAGCGAUCAUACCCUUCGGAGGUACGCAACCCUCUGCACACCUCCGAAGAGACGAGGCGCUUCCAUGCAAGGUGGUCAUCACCUCCACACAUACACUACUUCGACAUCCUAGUGGGUUUCCUAUGGUGAAAUCUCUCAAAACUCUCAACACUCAGUGGUCAACUAGAGUGCAUAGUGAGCGAUGUGCGUGCAUCCGAAAACCCUAUGAAGCCAAAACAGAAGAGGAAACAUACUAGUCACACAAAUAUCCAUGAAACCUAGCUCUAGGCUAUACAGGUCUUCAAUGAUCGGACUCCAAUCAACAUCAAUGUGUCGGUCUCCUCCAGAAUGCUCCCAAACAUCAAUAUAGUCCGUCGUUAGAUCCUACUCCUAACUUCUGGCUCGGUCAGAGAAACAAGCACACACAAGGCCUCAUACUUGCAAAAGUGAGAACCAAAAUGAAGGGAAUGAUCGAAACAAGAGGGUCAGAGGUAAAGGGAUAGAUGUGCGGCCUGCACAAACAAGCAACAUGCAAUCAUAUAGAAGAAGGGUGGUCAUGCAACAAACAGUCAAGCAAAGCGCAGAUAUAUCAUCCAUGUCCACACACAAGCUAAACGAGAAUAUGACAAUCAAAACAAAUAGUGACAAAGACAGCAUGCUUAAAAAUGAUCAAGACAAUAUACGAGCAAGGAAAUCAACACAUCAAGUCAAAUGAUAUACAGCAAUAAGUCUAUACAUGCAAGGCGAGCAAAACAAUCAUGGCAAAAUCAAAGUCACUAUGCUAAGGCAGACAAAAUAAUCAAUAAACAUAAUCAACAUGUCGAUCUCCCAAAUAAAUAUAACAAUGAAGCAUAGAAAAAAAAAAAAAAAAAAGCUACAUCAGAAUCCUCAAUCAUCAUAAUCAACAUGUCAAUGCCCCAAAUGAACACAAUAACCAAGCACGCAUCCAAUGAUAUCAAGAGCUCUCAAUGUGUAAUCAAGAGAUAGGUACCCACUGAUCGACCCAUCAAACACCACAUUUGCCUCAUCUUAAGUUCAAGUUUGAUCCUCCAGCACGUCCCAAGUGGAGCUGCCAUUUUGUGGACCCUGCAAUUUUGCUCAUGCGUUCCCACUCGAUGGUGAGACUCGUUUUUUUAUUUUAUUUGGUGAAAAAUAUGAUUUUUUUAGAAAAGACUUGAAGUUGCCACUAAUUUUUGUUUUAUUUUUAAAGGGUAAACAAAAUAAGAAAUAAAACCCUAAGUGUGAUUCCUUAUUUAGAAAAGGUGGUCUGUGAAAAACUAAAUAUGAGCUCGGGGGUUAGGUCACUUAUUGGGAAGGUACGGUAAAGAGACCGAAGCACCCCUCUAAGUCCCUAAAAACGUGUCUCUACUAAUAAGAUGAAGCAAGCAUGACAAUUCGUAAGGAAAUCAAUGGAUACCAAAAUGAAAUAAUCAAAUAAUAAAACGAAUCAUGCAUAAGAAUAAGCAAGGCGGGAAUGAGAUCGUACCUUAGUAGCAAUUAAUAGUACGCUAUCAUAGAAACAGGGCCAGCUCAAGUAUAAAAUCAUCACAUGCGUAUCAAAGAGCAAUGCAAAGAUUAGACAAUUCUCAUUAAGCAUAACAACUGACCAUCAGAAGAGAAAACUCAUAUGUAAGCCCCCCACCAAAACCCAAUUUAUUUUGCAUGAAUUAGUCUCACAAAUUCCAUUGCUUUGGAAUUAUGAAAAAUUCAUUCUUGCAUAUGUAAAAUCAAGGGAAACAGAAUAUUAUUUGAGAACCGAAAUGGAAUUAAAACUAUUCAAGAGAAAACUGGAUUUUUUGAAAUUUAUUUGAAAAUUGGAGUCUUGGGAAUUAAAUUUAAGAAUUGGAAUUUUGGAAAUUAAAUUUGAAAGAAAUUGGAAUUUUUAAAAUUAUUUGAGAAUUGGAACUAUGAAAAUUGGAAUCUUGGAAAUUAUUUAAAGAUGAAAAAUUUAAAAAUAAAUAAAAUAAUAAUAAUAAUAAUAAAUAAAUGUGAAAAUUGGAAUUUUGGAAAUUGGAAAUUAAAUUCGAAAAUUGGAAAAUUGGAAUUUCGAAAAUUGUGAGUUAAAUUUGGAAAUUGGAAUUUUGAAGAAUUAUUUAAAGAUGGAAUUUUAAAAACAAACAAAUAAAUAAAUAAAUAAAAUAAUGAUGAAAAUAAUAAUGAUUAAAGAAAUACAUGUGAAAAUAGGAACUUUGGAAAUUGGAAAUUAAAUUUGGAAAUAGGAAUUUUGAAGAAUUAUUUAAAGAUGGAAUUUAUUUUAAAUAAAUAAAUAAAAUAAUAAUAAUAACGAAAAUAAUAAUGAUUAAAUAAAUAAAUGUGAAAAUUGGAAUUUUGGAAAUUGGAAAUUGGAAAUUAAAUUUAAAAUCGGAAUUUUGGAAGAGUUAAUUAAAGAUGUAGUUUUUUUUAUUAAAAAAAAAUAGAAUAGUAAUAAUAACGAAGAUAAAAAGUGAUUAAAUAAAUAAAUGUGAAAAUUGGAAUUUUGGAAAUUGGGAAUUAAAUUUGGAAAUCGGUAUUUGGAAGAGUUAAUUAAAGAUGUAAUUUUUUUUUUAAAAAUAAAUAGAAUAAUAAUAAUAACGAAAAUAAAAAUGAUUAAAUAAGUAAAUGUGAAAAUUGAAAUUUUAAAAAUUGUGAAUUAAAUUUGGAAAUCGGAAUUUGGAAGAGUUAAUUAAAGAUGGAGUUUUUUUUAAAAAAAAAAUUGAAAAUAAUUAAAGUUUGAGAAGUCAAAGUUUUAAAAACUAAAAUUUUAAAAAUGGGAGUUUUGAAAAAUUAAAUUAAAAUUGGAGCUUUGAAAAAUUAAAUUAAAACUGGGGUCUUGAAAAAUUAUCUUAAAAUUAAAAUUUUGAAAAUGAAAUCUUUGGCAUCAAAAGUUGGAGAAAACUAAGAAAGUAAUAAAAAAAGAAAUGGCCUUAGGAUGGCCAAACAUGUACAUGCAUGUCCUUAAGGAAAAAACAAAAAAAAAAAAAGCACCACAAACCCAUUUCCAUUAAAUCUUUCAAACGCCUAGGAGUUCUAUGGUAAUGCUAACACAGACUUCAAGGAUUUUAUUUGGGGUCCUUAGGAAGUUCCUCUGAUCUUCCUUGCAGCCAUGCCGAAAUCUUAGUUUGCAGCAUAUAUACCCAAAAAUCUCUAUCAUUAUCCGCUCCCCAACGUGAAGCCACCAAGUAUUGAAGACGUUAAGAUGGAGUACCGAACGUGCAUAACGUAUGAGAGGGGAUGAAAGAAAGUUCAAAUAAGGAAGCGGUGAAGAGAAAUAGUUUGAUGACGGGAUGAGUGAAAAGGGUGGAAGUGAGGGAGGUGGAUUGGGUGGUGGAAUGAAAGUUAGAAACCUGGGCAUGGAGAUGGGUGUGAUGUAUGACAGUGGGUAUGACGAUUAGAAAGAUGAUGAGGUGAGGGUGGCCAUGCGUUUUGGGCCUCAUGCACUUGGGAAAAUGGUGGGGAAUGAAUGAUAGAUGGUGGGG
This 18107-nucleotide long non-coding RNA is filed under the name Vitis vinifera (wine grape). RNAcentral describes it as "long non-coding RNA (VVIN_LNC000875)". The record is from RNAcentral. Lineage: Eukaryota; Viridiplantae; Streptophyta; Magnoliopsida; Vitales; Vitaceae.